GUAGCGUAAUGAAUAGCGUGUUGGACUUCUAAUCAAAAGGUCGGGGGUUGGACCCCCCCCCCCCU
Non-coding RNA from Trichonephila inaurata madagascariensis, 65 nucleotides. The record is from the annotation of a GenBank genome assembly. NCBI's taxonomy places the organism in Eukaryota, Metazoa, Arthropoda, Arachnida, Araneae, Nephilidae.